RNAcentral lists this ribosomal RNA (230 nucleotides) under uncultured bacterium. RNAcentral describes it as "partial 16S ribosomal RNA". It matches the Rfam family "Bacterial small subunit ribosomal RNA", at positions 563 to 790 of the family's 1533-position model. The record is from RNAcentral.
AAGCGCACGCAGGCGGUCUGUUAAGUCAGAUGUGAAAUCCCCGGGCUUAACCUGGGAACUGCAUUUGAAACUGGCAGGCUUGAGUCUUGUAGAGGGGGGUAGAAUUCCAGGUGUAGCGGUGAAAUGCGUAGAGAUCUGGAGGAAUACCGGUGGCGAAGGCCGGCCCCCUGGACAAAGACUGACGCUCAGGUGCGAAAGCGGUGGGGAGCAAACAGGAUUAGAUACCCUGU